RNAcentral lists this ribosomal RNA (735 nucleotides) under uncultured Fusobacterium sp. Its description in RNAcentral is "bacterial SSU rRNA". It matches the Rfam family "Bacterial small subunit ribosomal RNA", at positions 28 to 776 of the family's 1533-position model. Lineage: Bacteria; Fusobacteriati; Fusobacteriota; Fusobacteriia; Fusobacteriales; Fusobacteriaceae. The record is from RNAcentral.
GAUGAACGCUGACAGAAUGCUUAACACAUGCAAGUCAACUUGAAUUUGGGUUUUUAACUUAGGUUUGGGUGGCGGACGGGUGAGUAACGCGUAAAGAACUUGCCUCACAGCUAGGGACAACAUUUGGAAACGAAUGCUAAUACCUAAUAUUAUGAUAAUAGGGCAUCCUAUAAUUAUGACAGCUAUAAGCGCUGUGAGAGAGCUUUGCGUCCCAUUAGCUAGUUGGAGAGGUAACGGCUCACCAAGGCGAUGAUGGGUAGCCGGCCUGAGAGGGUGAUCGGCCACAAGGGGACUGAGACACGGCCCUUACUCCCACGGGAGGCAGCAGUGGGGAAUAUUGGACAAUGGACCAAGAGUCUGAUCCAGCAAUUCUGUGUGCACGAUGAAGUUUUUCGGAAUGUAAAGUGCUUUCAGUUGGGAAGAAAGAAAUGACGGUACCAACAGAAGAAGUGACGGCUAAAUACGUGCCAGCAGCCGCGGUAAUACGUAUGUCACGAGCGUUAUCCGGAUUUAUUGGGCGUAAAGCGCGUCUAGGUGGUUAUGUAAGUCUGAUGUGAAAAUGCAGGGCUCAACUCUGUAUUGCGUUGGAAACUGUAUAACUAGAGUACUGGAGAGGUAAGCGGAACUACAAGUGUAGAGGUGAAAUUCGUAGAUAUUUGUAGGAAUGCCGAUGGGGAAGCCAGCUUACUGGACAGAUACUGACGCUGAAGCGCGAAAGCGUGGGUAGCAAACAGG